ACUGGGUGUGGUGGCUUGCACCUGUAAUCCCAGCUACUUGGGAGGCUGAGGCAGGAGAAUCACUUGAGCCCGGGAGGCAGAGGUUGCAGUGAGCUGAGAUCGCGCCACUGCACUCCAGCCUGGGCAACACAGUGAGACUCUGUCUCAA
This 148-nucleotide non-coding RNA is filed under the name Gorilla gorilla gorilla (western lowland gorilla). Lineage: Eukaryota; Metazoa; Chordata; Mammalia; Primates; Hominidae. The record is from Rfam by way of RNAcentral.